GAAGGGUGCAAGCGUUACUCGGAAUUACUGGGCGUAAAGGGUGCGUAGGUGGUUUGCUAAGUCUGCUGUGAAAUCCCCGGGCUCAACCUGGGAAUGGCAGUGGAUACUGGCAAGCUAGAGUGCGAUAGAGGGUAGUGGAAUUCCCGGUGUAGCAGUGAAAUGCGUAGAGAUCGGGAGGAACACCAGUGGCGAAGGCGGCUACCUGGAUCAGCACUGACACUCAAGCACGAAAGCGUGGGGAGCAAACAGGAUUAGAUACCCUGGUAGUCCACGCCCUAAACGAUGCGAACUGGACGUUGGGUGCAACUUGGCACUCAGUGUCGAAGCUAACGCGUUAAGUUCGCCGCCUGGGGAGUACGGUCGCAAGACUG
Molecule: ribosomal RNA, 371 nt
Filed under: uncultured bacterium
Lineage: Bacteria
Description: bacterial SSU rRNA
Rfam family: Bacterial small subunit ribosomal RNA
Source: RNAcentral